RNAcentral lists this ribosomal RNA (207 nucleotides) under uncultured Actinomycetales bacterium. RNAcentral's name for it is "partial 16S ribosomal RNA". It matches the Rfam family "Bacterial small subunit ribosomal RNA", at positions 126 to 334 of the family's 1533-position model. Lineage: Bacteria; Bacillati; Actinomycetota; Actinomycetes; Actinomycetales. The record is from RNAcentral.
CUGCCCUUGACUUUGGGAUAACUUCAGGAAACUGGGGCUAAUACCGGAUAGGAGCUCCUGCUGCAUGGUGGGGGUUGGAAAGUUUCGGCGGUUGGGGAUGGACUCGCGGCUUAUCAGCUUGUUGGUGGGGUAGUGGCUUACCAAGGCUUUGACGGGUAGCCGGCCUGAGAGGGUGACCGGCCACAUUGGGACUGAGAUACGGCCCAG